Moraxella bovoculi 237 is the source of this 97-nucleotide non-coding RNA. It matches the Rfam family "Bacterial small signal recognition particle RNA". From Rfam's summary of the family: The signal recognition particle (SRP) is a universally conserved ribonucleoprotein involved in the co-translational targeting of proteins to membranes. The record is from Rfam. NCBI's taxonomy places the organism in Bacteria, Pseudomonadati, Pseudomonadota, Gammaproteobacteria, Moraxellales, Moraxellaceae.
CAUCGGUAACUUCGCAACUUUGUACUAUGAACCCCGCCAGGACCGGAAGGUAGCAACGGUAGUAGAUACAAAGUGUGCCGAAGAUGUGCUGAUGAAG